UUGCUGUUUGUUGUUUGCUGUUUGGUGGCAAAUCCACUCCUUUUUCCCUUCCUUUAAGGAUGAUUCUAGGUUUUCUCAACGCGGCUCCAGGAUCUCUCUUUUCGUGCUCAUUCUUGUCGCCAUUGCCGGAUUGAUCUCCAUUUUUUGGAUCUUGCAUCGAUUAGUAAGAGAGCGGUUGAAUUUAGGUGAAGAACUUCAGGGCUGAUGAGCUGAUUGAAUUUUAAAAGUCAGAUUUGAAGUUGAAGAAGUUCUUGCACAUUAUUGAGAAUUCAAGUGUGUUCCCUGUCAUUUAUGACCGCAACAGAAUUGUUUUGUCUUUACCGCCAAUUAUUAAUGGUGCACACUCAGCAAUCACUUUGAAGACAAAAAAUGUCUUCAGUGAGUGCACAACAACCGAUCUAACAAAGGCUAAAAUUGUUUUAAAUACAAUGGUAAGGAGUUGAGUACUGUUAGCUUUUGUCCUU
Hibiscus syriacus is the source of this 464-nucleotide long non-coding RNA. RefSeq lists it as uncharacterized. The record is from RefSeq and is a predicted model, not a curated record. The transcript is spliced from 3 exons. Lineage: Eukaryota; Viridiplantae; Streptophyta; Magnoliopsida; Malvales; Malvaceae.